RNAcentral lists this ribosomal RNA (239 nucleotides) under uncultured bacterium. RNAcentral's name for it is "partial 16S ribosomal RNA". It matches the Rfam family "Bacterial small subunit ribosomal RNA", at positions 118 to 354 of the family's 1533-position model. The record is from RNAcentral.
UGAGGAACAUGACUUUCGGCGGGGGAUAGCCGGCCCAACGGCCGGGUAAUACCGCGUACGACCUUCGAGGGGCAUCCCUUGAUGGUGAAAGCCGUAAGGCGCCGAUGGAGAACUUCGCGGCCUAUCAGCUAGUUGGUGAGGUCAUGGCUCACCAAGGCGACGACGGGUAGCUGGUCCGAGAGGAUGACCAGCCACAGUUGGGACUGAGACACGGCCCAGACUCCUACGGGAGCAGCAGG